RNAcentral lists this transfer RNA (87 nucleotides) under Pseudomonadota bacterium. RNAcentral's name for it is "tRNA-Leu". It matches the Rfam family "tRNA". Rfam says of the family: Transfer RNA (tRNA) molecules are approximately 80 nucleotides in length. Their secondary structure includes four short double-helical elements and three loops (D, anti-codon, and T loops). Further hydrogen bonds mediate the characteristic L-shaped molecular structure. tRNAs have two regions of fundamental functional importance: the anti-codon, which is responsible for specific mRNA codon recognition, and the 3' end, to which the tRNAs corresponding amino acid is attached (by aminoacyl-tRNA synthetases). tRNAs cope with the degeneracy of the genetic code in two manners: having more than one tRNA (with a specific anti-codon) for a particular amino acid; and 'wobble' base-pairing, i.e. permitting non-standard base-pairing at the 3rd anti-codon position. The record is from RNAcentral. Lineage: Bacteria; Pseudomonadati; Pseudomonadota. RNAcentral also lists the same sequence under 3 other names.
GCCGGGAUGGCGGAAUUGGCAGACGCGCCAGAUUCAGGUUCUGGUGGGCGCAGGCUCGUGCAGGUUCAAGUCCUGUUCCCGGCACCA